RNA transcript from Piliocolobus tephrosceles (Ugandan red Colobus), 1485 nucleotides. It is a transcript of the gene named coiled-coil domain-containing protein 74B-like, with no coding region annotated. The transcript has 8 exons. The record is from RefSeq and is a predicted model, not a curated record. NCBI's taxonomy places the organism in Eukaryota, Metazoa, Chordata, Mammalia, Primates, Cercopithecidae.
CCAGGCUGGGGCUGCCCGGCCACCGAGCCGGGGUGCAGAGGCCGCGGGAAGGUUCCUGGCGAUGGCGAGAUGAGCGUCGCGGGGGUGGUGGCUGGGACGCGCCCCCCCAGCUCGCCGACCCCGGGAUCCCGGCCCCGGCGCCAGCGCCCCUCCGUGGGCGUCCAGUCCCUGAGGCCGCAGAGCCCGCAGCUCAGGCCGAGCGACCCGCAGAAACGGAACCUGGACCUGGAGAAGAGCCUGCAGUUCCUGCAGCAGCAGCACUCGGAGAUGCUGGCCAAGCUCCACGAGGAGAUCGAGCACCUGAAGCGGGAGAACAAGGGUCUCCAUUACAAGCUCAUAAUGAAUCAGACAUCACAGAAGAAAGAUGGCCCCUCAGGAAACCACCUUUCCGGGGCCUCUGCUCCCUCGGGUGCUUUCUGGGUCUGCGUCCGUGGAGUGUGGGUAGAGCCGGGAGGACACAGCCCUGCCAGGCUGAAGGAGGGCCCCUCACGGACACACAGGCCAGGAGGCAAGCAUGGGCGUCUUGCGGGCGGCAGCACCGACACUGCGCUCUCCUGCAGACAGCCUGUCCACGUCAAGCUUCCAGUCUGUCAAGUCCAUCUCUAACUCAGGCAAGGCCAGGCCCCAGCCCAGCUCCUUCAACAAGCAAGAUACGAAAGCUGACGCCCCCCAGAAGGCAGACCUGGAAGAGGAGCCCCUACUUCACAACAGCAAGCUAGACAAGGUUCCUGGGGUACAAGGGCAGGCCAGAAAGGAGAAAGCAGAGGCCUCUAACGCAGGAGCAGCCUGUAUGGGGAGCAGCCGGCACCAGGGCAGGCAGAUGAUGGGGGCGGGGGCACACCCCCCCAAUGACCCUGCCCCUUCACCUGCGAAAACCCACCACACUGAAGCAGUGCGAAGUGCUCAUCCGCGAGCUGUGGAACACCAACCUCCUGCAGACCCAGGAGCUGCAGCACCUCAGGUCCCUCCUGGAAGGCAGCCAGAGGCCCCAGGUGGCCCCAGAGGAGGCUGGGUCUAGCUUUCCCAGGGACCAGGAAGUCAUGCAUUUUCCUAAGGUCUCCACGAAGGGCCUCUCGAAGACAUGCCUGCUUCUGAGCCCACCUGUGGCGCAGCGUGCCAUCCUACCUGCCCUGAAGCAGACCCCGAAGAACAACUUUGCCGAGAGGCAGAAGAGGCUGCAAGCAAUGCAGAAACGGCGCCUGCACCGCUCAGUGCUUUGAGCCACCCACAUCUGGUCAGUGCCAGGCCCACCAACCUGCAGCUGGAGACUGGUUCUCUAUAGCAUUUCCUGAUACUUCCACUACUUUUAGGCCUGGCUAAAUUCCAAAAUAGAUGACACUUAAAAUAGAUAAAGUACUUGAUCUCUAAACUAACAAACCAUUUAUUUUCUGUUAUUUUGCUAUUUAGCAUUUACAUAAAAAGCACAUGAUGAAGUAGGUAUCGCUUUAUCUGUUGAAACUGAAAAUAAAGCUUGUUUAUUUCCAA